ACGAACGCUGGCGGCGUGCCUAAUACAUGCAAGUCGAGCGAAGUUUUUCUGGUGCUUGCACCGGAAAAACUUAGCGGCGAACGGGUGAGUAACACGUAAAGAACCUGCCUCAUAGACUGGGACAACUAUUGGAAACGAUAGCUAAUAACGGAUAACAGCAUUAACUGCAUGGUUGAUGUUUAAAAGUUGGUUUUGCUAACACUAUGAGAUGGCUUUGCGGUGCAUUAGCUAGUUGGUGGGGUAAAGGCCUACCAAGGCGACGAUGCAUAGCCGACCUGAGAGGGUGAUCGGCCACACUGGGACUGAGACACGGCCCAGACUCCUACGGGAGGCAGCAGUAGGGAAUCUUCCGCAAUGGGCGAAAGCCUGACGGAGCAACGCCGCGUGAGUGAAGAAGGAUUUCGGUUCGUAAAGCUCUGUUGUUAGGGAAGAAUGAUUGUGUAGUAACUAUACACAGUAGAGACGGUACCUAACCAGAAAGCCACGGCUAACUACGUG
This 498-nucleotide ribosomal RNA is filed under the name uncultured bacterium. RNAcentral describes it as "partial 16S ribosomal RNA". It matches the Rfam family "Bacterial small subunit ribosomal RNA", at positions 29 to 507 of the family's 1533-position model. The record is from RNAcentral.